UAGUCCUUGAAAUUUCUAAAUUUACAUAUAGGUCCUCAAAUUUACAUAUAAAUCCUUAUUGAUAAAUUUCAAAAGAGGGAUAUUACACUCUCCCCCCCCUUAAAAGAAAAUUUAGUCCUCUAAAUUGGUUAUACCUCAAUCGAUGAAAAAGACGAGGAUAAACCUUUUUCAUUUCCUCUCUAGAAUGAUGUCUCCAAAUUACUUUAACUAGAGGGAUAACUCGAUUCCUUAGGAUCUUUUCCUUCUUAUCAACAAUCUGAGUGAGCUCUUCCAUAUAAGAUAAAUCCUUAUCGAUCUCCAUCAGCUCAUACUUAAUGUUAUGAGUAGGAUCAGGUAUAUACUUUCUAAUUAUCGAAACAUGAAAUAUAUUAUGGAUAUGACACAACGAUGGUGGCAAGGCAAACCUAUAAGCGACAGAACCAACCCUCUCAAGGACCUCAAAAGGUCCAAUAAAUCUUAGGCUUAACUUUCCUUUAGGAUUUGGUUCUUGAUAUCU
This 496-nucleotide long non-coding RNA is filed under the name Musa acuminata (dwarf banana). RNAcentral's name for it is "long non-coding RNA (MACU_LNC007337)". Lineage: Eukaryota; Viridiplantae; Streptophyta; Magnoliopsida; Zingiberales; Musaceae. The record is from RNAcentral.